Molecule: ribosomal RNA, 494 nt
Filed under: uncultured Caldanaerocella sp.
Lineage: Bacteria; Bacillati; Bacillota; Clostridia; Eubacteriales; Clostridiaceae
Description: bacterial SSU rRNA
Rfam family: Bacterial small subunit ribosomal RNA
Source: RNAcentral
GAGCGAUGAAGGCCUUCGGGUCGUAAAGCUCUGUCCUAAGGGAAGAAUAAUGACGGUACCUUAGGAGGAAGCCCCGGCUAACUACGUGCCAGCAGCCGCGGUAAUACGUAGGGGGCGAGCGUUAUCCGGAAUCACUGGGCGUAAAGGGUGCGUAGGCGGCCAAUAAAGUCUGGGGUGAAAGGCUACGGCUUAACCGUAGUAAGCCUUGGAAACUUAUUGGCUUGAGUGCAGGAGAGGAGAGUGGAAUUCCUAGUGUAGCGGUGAAAUGCGUAGAUAUUAGGAGGAACACCAGUGGCGAAGGCGACUCUCUGGACUGUAACUGACGCUGAGGCACGAAAGCGUGGGGAGCGAACAGGAUUAGAUACCCUGGUAGUCCACGCCGUAAACGAUGAGUGCUAGGUGUCGGGGGUCGAACCUCGGUGCCGCAGCUAACGCAUUAAGCACUCCGCCUGGGGAGUACGGUCGCAAGACUGAAACUCAAAGGAAUUGACGGA